CACAUUCAAAUCCUCAAACUUGUUAACUAGACUAGAUAGGGCGUCAAAUUACUGUCUUUUAGAAUAAAUUGUCCGCAUAGCAACUAACUAUACAUCUGACAUAUGGGGCUCACAUGUCCUCUCUAUCUGAUUUUCUUCUUCACUAAUGUGCAACUACCUAGGUCCACCACCUCCGGAGCUACGUACACUCCUCCAGUCGUGAUGCCACAUCCGCUAGGGUAAUCGUGCAUCUCUCUCUCUAACCACUGCUACCGUUGCUAAUGAAGGCAAAAGAGUCUAUUGCAUUAGUAUCCUCCCCAACGACCUCCUUAACCUCCAUGUCAAUGACGUCGUGCAUCUCUCUCCGCCACGCUCUCUAUAUACUACCUAUGCCACCCUGCUACGUCGGAACACCCAUCAAACAUAGCACUAGCAACUAGAUCCGUUGCCUAGGUGCUCGAUCUUUACCUUGGUGUAUAUACCACAAUCAACUAUUAAUUCCCCACCACCUACACCAUGGUAAGUUGCAGUUUCAUAUGAGCCAGUGCAAAUACCGCACAGCCCCAUCACUCUAACCUCCCAUGUUAGUUCGUGCAACUACUACGAAGAGGAGACAAAAUACACCAUAUUGAAAUCAUGUAUUAU
This 624-nucleotide long non-coding RNA is filed under the name Sorghum bicolor (sorghum). RNAcentral's name for it is "long non-coding RNA (SBIC_LNC001876)". The record is from RNAcentral. Lineage: Eukaryota; Viridiplantae; Streptophyta; Magnoliopsida; Poales; Poaceae.